This is a long non-coding RNA of Myotis myotis, 1366 nucleotides long. RefSeq lists it as uncharacterized. The record is from RefSeq and is a predicted model, not a curated record. NCBI's taxonomy places the organism in Eukaryota, Metazoa, Chordata, Mammalia, Chiroptera, Vespertilionidae. The transcript is spliced from 5 exons.
UAAGCAGCUUCCGCGCUUCAGGUCCCGCGGCUCUGCGUGUUCGGACCCUCAGGGCCGAGCGCCAAGUGCCCAACUCGCUGCUCCGUGGAGCUGACCGCGUUCUGAGAUCUACAGAAACACAAGAAAACUUCACAUGUACAAAAUGAUAGGAGACAGCAGUUGAGGAAUACCAAUUAAUUGACAGGGUUAUCUUCAUUAUCACAGUCUGGAACUGGAGCUGGUGAGUUGAAUUGGAACAGCAGGCUUCCAGAGACAGAGGCCAAGAAGAAGGGGCAUUCAUGCCCCUCACUCCCUAAGAUCUCCAAUAGCCUCCACCCCCUCUCCGAACAAGCCACCACAAUAAAUGCAUGUGUACACUACGUAAAAACAAUGCAUCCGUGCCUACCAACGGAAAAAGAGCUUCAAGCCACUCCAAAUAAACAUACAUUCCAAGUACAUGAGACACCUGAUUCCCCCUUUUGCUACCCUCUUUUAUGGAAUCUCUUCUAUUGAGAUUCUGGAACCAUCACUGGCUCUAGGAAGGAUCUGAGACAGGUCCAAAUCCUUUUCCAUAUGUAUUGGUAUAUGCUUAAAAUUCUACUAGUUUUCUUCUACUUCAGGCCAAGAUGGCUUAACAGGGACUAAAUAUACCUCCCACCGGAAACGACCAAAAACUAGGAAAAUAUAAGAAGAAAGAAAAAAUCAGCUUUUAAGACACUGGACAUCAGACAACAUAAGAGGGAGAGCUCUGAGUAGUGGGAAACAAGUUCUGGAGUACAGAAGUCUAAAAUGGGUCUCACUGGGCUAAAAUCAAGGUGUCAGCAGGCCCACAUUUCUUCUGGAGGCGCAAACCCAAUUCCUAGCCUUUUCCUUGGCCUGUGGCCUCUUUCCACCUUCAAAACGAACUAUUCCAAACAAGCUAUGAUUCUCUUGGCAAAACAGCCCCACCAAGAGUCUCACCAGCCUCUCCCUUGGGAACAUAAAGACUCAGACAAGGGGGGGAAAGACAAGGCUAGACACCUGUCCCCAAUGGGUAAAGGAAGAACACACCUGGAAAGCAGCUCUGACAACGGGAGCCAAGGGGAGGAAAACAGUAAUUGGAGAAGAGAGACUGCUUCCAAUCUGUUGCUGGUUUAUAAGGUAAAUCUAUUCCUGGAGUAAAAGGGAUACAGUAGCAGCACAAUAAAAACUGGGACAAGGCGUGGCUCUGCUAGAUUGUAUCUCCUGCAAGGCUCCACUCUGAUGACAGUCGCACCAAGGGCGUUUUUCCAGUCCGACCUGAGCCCAGUGUGGAUCAAGCGAUCCGCCUGAGAUUGCCAAGCAUCCUGUGCACAUCUAUCUCAUUCAUUCAUUCAAACUGAACACCUAACAUGUUCUAAAGUCUAAA